Molecule: ribosomal RNA, 429 nt
Filed under: Chloroflexota bacterium
Lineage: Bacteria; Bacillati; Chloroflexota
Description: Chloroflexi bacterium partial 16S ribosomal RNA
Rfam family: Bacterial small subunit ribosomal RNA
Source: RNAcentral
UGGGGAAUAUUGCACAAUGGGCGCAAGCCUGAUGCAGCCAUGCCGCGUGUGUGAAGAAGGCCUUCGGGUUGUAAAGCACUUUCAGCGGGGAGGAAGGCGAUAAGGUUAAUAACCUUGUCGAUUGACGUUACCCGCAGAAGAAGCACCGGCUAACUCCGUGCCAGCAGCCGCGGUAAUACGGAGGGUGCAAGCGUUAAUCGGAAUUACUGGGCGUAAAGCGCACGCAGGCGGUCUGUCAAGUCGGAUGUGAAAUCCCCGGGCUUAACCUGGGAACUGCAAUCGAAACUGGCAGGCUAGAGUCUUGUAGAGGGGGGUAGAAUUCCAGGUGUAGCGGUGAAAUGCGUAGAGAUCUGGAGGAAUACCGGUGGCGAAGGCGGCCCCCUGGACAAAGACUGACGCUCAGGUGCGAAAGCGUGGGGAGCAAACAGG